Molecule: unclassified non-coding RNA, 321 nt
Filed under: Hevea brasiliensis (rubber tree)
Lineage: Eukaryota; Viridiplantae; Streptophyta; Magnoliopsida; Malpighiales; Euphorbiaceae
Source: RNAcentral
GACAGUUACCGGAUGUAGCAAGGGAAUUGUCUUAUCAUCUUUCUCUGCCCCAAAUUCCAGUGUAAUAUCCAAAUGCUCAGAAGGAAAAGAAACUUCCUCUCUCUGGUCACAGAUGCGGACUCUCUCAUCACUCUGUGCACUCUGCUGAUCAGAAAGAGCAAUUGCUACUAACUUGGUGCAUAAACUUGAAUUAGAAAAUCUCCUUAUCGGUGGACCCAUUGAGUGAUUCGUUGAAACACGGUUCAUAAUUGGUGAAAAUAAACUUCCAGAAUGAAAGAAUCCAUUCUGGGAAGAUGAGAACGUCUUUUUGAGGUUUUUCUG